ACGUGAGGUUGAUUGCGUGUGUCU
Molecule: non-coding RNA, 24 nt
Filed under: Arabidopsis thaliana (thale cress)
Lineage: Eukaryota; Viridiplantae; Streptophyta; Magnoliopsida; Brassicales; Brassicaceae
Source: RNAcentral